RNAcentral lists this ribosomal RNA (31 nucleotides) under Cladosporium iridis. RNAcentral's name for it is "partial 18S ribosomal RNA". Lineage: Eukaryota; Fungi; Ascomycota; Dothideomycetes; Cladosporiales; Cladosporiaceae. The record is from RNAcentral.
UCCGUAGGUAACCUCGAGGGAUCAUUACAAG